GUGACAGUCCGCUAGUAAAGAUACAGUUUAAAUAUUGAUUCUUUGUUAAGUUGUCUGUUUCGUGUAGAGACAACACUGAAUCAUCCCUUGAGUUAGGAGCCUUUAAAAAAAAUGAAUGAUGCAUAAUUAAGUGUCAAAUUGCUUAACAAAUAAAAACAUCCCUCUCAUAAUGAUCAGGUCCAAGAACUGGGAAUGAAAAUGAAAUGAGUGAAAAAGCAGUCGAUAUCCAAAGAAAAACUUUGAAGGACGUUUUGUGGUUUUCAUAGGAACUGUUGCUCAACUAUUGCUCAAGAUCACUUUAAGUGUGACUCCUCGGCAGAAAACAUAAACAAAGAGGGGUUGUUUGAGAGUUUUGGACAUUUCUGUCUCUCUCUCUCUCUUUUUUUUUCUUUUUUUUUUUUGCUACUGGUGUUUUAAUACUUAAUGAAUAUUUUAUUAUUUCCAUUAUGUAACACCGUUUUUCUUGUCACACAGAGGUUGAGUGGGGAGAGAGGGCAAAAGUUCAAAAUCCAGGUCAGUCUCAGUUAGAAACAGUGCUGUAGGUGAGUGAGCACUUGUCACAUCAUCUUCAAGAAGACGUCCCUCUGUCGAUGUACCUAAGUUCUGUGGUACAAAAAGCAUAUAGAGGGAUUAAAGAUAUAAUAUACUACUUAGCGACAGACUUAGCUCGAAAUAAUUCCCAAGCGUGUUCCUUAAAAGAGCAGGAAGAGGUGGUGAAUGAAAGAAAUCCAUCCAGAUCCAGCUGAUAAAUGAAGACCAAGAACAGGUUUGACAGCUCUGACUCAGUCCUUCCAACAAAGACAUGGAUGGAUGGAGGGAGGCAGAGGGAGAAAGAGAAAGAAAAAAAAUGUCACAUCACUGGCAAUUCCAGGUAUAUUAGUGGGUCACAGUGAAAUAUAAACCACACCCAAGUGUUUUUCUUUUUUUAUGAACGUGUUUCUAUUUGUCUUAAUGGCAAACAGUAGCAAAGAUCAUUUAAUCAUUAACAUUUGAUCAUUUCUCCGGCAACUUGAGCGAACCACUUGGCAUUAAUGGCCCAUGUCUGAGCUGCACACACCUCACCAGAGAGUUAUGAAAACGUUGUGGUCCAGAGGUGGCCAGCUGAUGCCUAUCCAGCGGUUUUUCUCAUGAAUCUGGCUCCUAAUCCAGCCGCUUGCCAGUCUUGAAAUGUCAGAUGGUCUAAAGUAAGUGCAGCACACUAAAACGUGCCCCCACGUUCUCCCUUGCAGCCCUAUAGCGUCUUAUAUCUACCACCACGCUGAUUUCCUUUUCUUUUUUUCUUUUUUUUUUCUACCUGGACCGAAAAACGCCUGAGGUUUUUCUCAUGGGAAAAUCUUGGAGAGGUAUGUUGCUCCGUGAGCAGGGAGUGAGAGUGGAAUCCCGUUUUUCAGGAUUUAAUCUCACUCCCCACUCAUGAUCCAAUCCCAAAGUCUUCAUGACGACCGGCAUCGUGUCUGAACACGCCGCAGAUGUUAGGAAAUUCUCGCUCAGCCGGAUUCAGAGGUUUUGGUUGCGCGCAGCACCUUUCCACGACUUCUCGUCUUUUGACUUUUUCUUCUAGCUAAAUCCAUGACUCACAUUUCUCUUUGAAACUCAUCCAUCUUUUUUUCUGUCUUUUUCCUCAACACAGCAGAUUUGGACUCUUCCAUACAAAGAAGACACCUACAUUAAAGCAAUCAAGACAACCCUGAUUUCUUUGAAUAAAAUGCAACAUGACAAUGCAAAGUGUUUAUCAUGAAGCCUAUAAUAGUAAAUUAUUUACCAGCAUUUUUAGCUAAGAAGAAAAAUAAUUGAAUUUAAUUGGAAUUAGCUGGAUAAA
Astatotilapia calliptera (eastern happy) is the source of this 1819-nucleotide long non-coding RNA. Lineage: Eukaryota; Metazoa; Chordata; Actinopteri; Cichliformes; Cichlidae. The record is from Ensembl.